This 177-nucleotide ribosomal RNA is filed under the name uncultured bacterium. RNAcentral's name for it is "partial 16S ribosomal RNA". It matches the Rfam family "Bacterial small subunit ribosomal RNA", at positions 333 to 507 of the family's 1533-position model. The record is from RNAcentral.
UGAUUCCUACGGGAGGCAGCAGUAAGGAAUAUUGGUCAAUGGACGCAAGUCUGAACCAGCCAUGCCGCGUGGAGGAUUAAGGCCCUCUGGGUUGUAAACUCCUUUUAUUUGGGAAGAAAUCCAUACAUUCUUGUGUGGUUGACGGUACCAGAAGAAUAAGCACCGGCUAUCUCCGUG